GUUUAUUUUUUUACCAAGAGGAGUAAACUAAGAAGACAGAUUCACACCCAAGAAAAGUCACCAAAUUCAUCUUCUUUUUUCGUUGAUUAUGUCGGCUUUACGGUAAUUCAGUAAUCACAAUCGGAGAACCUCGCACGUCGAUUGUCACAAGUAUGCAAGCCAAGAAAGAGAGUAAAUAAGAAGAACACGUCGAUUCUAACCUCAACUUGUUGUUGGUUUGUUUGAAUAAUUUUUUCCAAUUUAUGUACUUCCAAUAUAAGAAAAUCGCCCGGAAAGUAUACGAAAGCCAUGUGAUAAAAUUAUAUCAAAUCCAAUGGAAUUUUACAAUAUUGAAUUUCAUCAGCUGCAAUAACUUAAACAACAAAGAUUUUAUGCUACUUUAUAGGAAUAUAACCAGUUUUUAUGAAGUUGCCCAUUUCAAAUUACAGCUCUUUCAUGUUCUAGAAGCGAGAUUAUGAAUGUUGUUGGUGAACAACAAGGUCAAGUUAUGUUGGCUUAAUAUUUGAUCUAAGUGCAUUAAGAGGUAUCAUGAGAAAGAGUGAAAUUCCAGGAUUAUUAAUUGGCAAUAGUAGAUACGCAUGCAAAUACUAUCUAUUUACUUCAGUAUUACAGCCAGGUGCCAUCUGUGAGAGUCCACAACUCAAGUCCAUACAACAGUACACUAAAGAUAUAACAUCAUAGUAACCUGAUUUUUAUGGGUAUCGACAAAUCAUGACAUUUGAAUAACUUAGCCAUUGCUUGAAAUGUAGAUCUUGCUUUCUCUAUCCUACAUUUGAUUUCUAUGGAAUGAUCCCAAUCUUCAUUGACGUUCGUACCAAGGUAGGUGUAUGUAUUUACUCUUUCUAUUUGUUGACUGUUCACACUGAUUCGUCUAAAUUGCUGUUCCUUCUUAGAGAUCAUCAUACAUUCUGUUUUCUUAGUGUUUAGUGAAAGUCUGCAUCACUGAUUGACUUCUGCGAUUCUGUUCAAUAAAUAUGCACCAGAAAUAAACAAACCAAGACACUUAAAUGUUACGAGGAGUACUCCCUAAUCAUGAUUUACACAAAAAAUAUAUAAACCUUGUAAAUCAGGAUUUGGGAUUUACAAUGUACUUAUAUAAAUUGUAAAUUAUUAUUUAGGAGUGCACCUCGUAACAUUCAAUGUUUCUUGGUUUAUUUAUUUCUAAUGCAUCUUUAUUGUGAUUGUAGUAAGUAUAAUAUAUAGGUAUAUAUGUAUAUCUUUUUAGGUAAUGAUCAAGAAAAUAGAUACAAUAGUGCACAUGUAAGAACAAGAAAUGUUGCCGAAAAGCUAUUUGGAACCUGGAAAAAACAGUUUCCAUGUCUUCAAAAGUUCUACAAACCGAAUUAAAUACAUACCUUGCAAUAUGUGCUACAACAGUACCUUAUAAGUUAUAAU
RNA transcript from Diabrotica virgifera virgifera (western corn rootworm), 1395 nucleotides. It is a transcript of the gene named putative nuclease HARBI1, with no coding region annotated. The transcript has 4 exons. Lineage: Eukaryota; Metazoa; Arthropoda; Insecta; Coleoptera; Chrysomelidae. The record is from RefSeq and is a predicted model, not a curated record.